AUUUAACGCUGGCGGCAGGCCUAACACAUGCAAGUCGAGCGGAGCGGCGGACGGGUGAGUAAUGCCUAGGAAUCUGCCUGGUAGUGGGGGAUAACGUCCGGAACCGGGCGCUAAUACCGCAUACUAUCAGAUGAGCCUAGGUCGGAUUAGCUAGUGGGGGGGGUAAAGGACUACCAAGGCGACGAUCCGUAACUGGUCGGAGAGGAUGAUCAGUCACACUGAAACUGAGACACGGUCCAGAAUCCUACGGGAGGCAGCAGUGGGGAAUAUUGGACAAUGGGCGCAAGCCUGAUGCAGCCAUGCCGCGUGUGUGAAGAAGGCCUUCGGGUUGUAAAGCACUUUCAGCGGGGAGGCGUUACCCGCAGAAGAAGCACCGGCUAACUCCGUGCCAGCAGCCGCGGUAAUUC
This 407-nucleotide ribosomal RNA is filed under the name uncultured bacterium. RNAcentral describes it as "partial 16S ribosomal RNA". It matches the Rfam family "Bacterial small subunit ribosomal RNA", at positions 30 to 526 of the family's 1533-position model. The record is from RNAcentral.